This is a non-coding RNA of Pelobates cultripes (western spadefoot toad), 434 nucleotides long. The record is from the annotation of a GenBank genome assembly. NCBI's taxonomy places the organism in Eukaryota, Metazoa, Chordata, Amphibia, Anura, Pelobatidae.
ACAAAAAUCAAUGUUCUGGGAGAACGAGAAGCAGCUCCAUUUUUGGGGGGGCCCUUUACACAGCUCAAGGUCUGGGUCCCAGGGUCCACCUUCAUUUUCCACCAAUGAGUUUGUUCACAGGGGAUGGAGUGUGUAGGGAAUGUCCUGAUUUGUGUGUAAGGAAUGCAUUGUGUGAAUCUGUGUUUGUAUGUGUAAGGGCUGCAAGGUGUGUUUCUGUGUAAGGAAUGAAGUGUGUGAGUCUGUAAGGGGUGUAUUGAGUGUGUGUAAGGAAUGCAUUGUGUGUUUCUGUGUGUGCAAGGGAUGCAUUGUGUGUAAGGGUUGCAUUGCGUGUGUGUGUGUAAUGCAUUGUGUGUUUUUCUGUGUGCAAGGGGUUCAUUGUCUUUGUGUGUAAGGGGUGCAUUGUGUGUGAUUGUGUGUGUGUGUGUGUGUGUGUG